AGACACGCGACAGAGCAGCAGCACAACAAACACACUUUCUGGACUCUCUACUGGAAAUAUGAGCUCAUAAAUACCUUUACUGGAGCUGUGAAUCCACCUGGAUGUGGAGGAGUGUGUGGAGGAGCGUCAGCUGUUGAGCGCUGGUCAAAGAUCUGCAGCAGAAACACAACAGACACACGUGUGUAUCUUCACUGCUGCAGAGGAGAGAGAGAGAGAGCAAUGCCUGAACACAAAUACUACAGCAACAUCACUACAAACAAACCCACUGAAACAAAGUCACUUACAGGAUCAGUGAAGUGUUGUGGACUGAAAGCCUGUUGAACAGAAGCAGAGACGUGUGGCCAAACACUGACUGUAAUGAUGAUGAUCAUCUGCUGCUGCACAGGCUGUAAAGUAUAACCCCUGCUGGACACGGCUCCGGAAGCUCCAGGGGGAGACCGAACUGGUAUCCCCCCUUCUUCAGGCGCGCCUCACACUCACUCACCAUUCACUCAUAUCGCAGAGUUCUGGCUGGGAUCAUACCAGCAACCCCUGAAGCCGUGGGGCAGCGCUCUUACCACAGAGCCACAGAUCUCCUGUCUG
This is a long non-coding RNA of Danio aesculapii, 582 nucleotides long. RefSeq lists it as uncharacterized. Lineage: Eukaryota; Metazoa; Chordata; Actinopteri; Cypriniformes; Danionidae. The transcript has 3 exons. The record is from RefSeq and is a predicted model, not a curated record.